This 505-nucleotide ribosomal RNA is filed under the name uncultured bacterium. Its description in RNAcentral is "partial 16S ribosomal RNA". It matches the Rfam family "Bacterial small subunit ribosomal RNA", at positions 28 to 507 of the family's 1533-position model. The record is from RNAcentral.
GAUGAACGCUGGCGGCGUGCCUAAUACAUGCAAGUAGAACGCACAGUUUAUACCGUAGCUUGCUACACCAUAGACUGUGAGUUGCGAACGGGUGAGUAACGCGUAGGUAACCUGCCUGGUAGCGGGGGAUAACUAUUGGAAACGAUAGCUAAUACCGCAUAAUAUUGAUUAUUGCAUGAUAAUUGAUUGAAAGAUGCUAUUGCAUCACUACCAGAUGGACCUGCGUUGUAUUAGCUAGUAGGUGAGGUAACGGCUCACCUAGGCGACGAUACAUAGCCGACCUGAGGAGGUGGUCGGCCAAACUGGGACUGAGACACGGCCCAGACUCCUACGGGAGGCAGCAGUAGGGAAUCUUCGGCAAUGGACGAAAGUCUGACCGAGCAACGCCGCGUGAGUGAAGAAGGGUUUCGGAUCGUAAAGCUCUGUUGUAAGAGAAGAACGGGUGUGAGAGUGGAAAGUUCACACUGUGACAGUAUCUUACCAGAAAGGGACGGCUAACUACGUG